Molecule: ribosomal RNA, 199 nt
Filed under: uncultured soil bacterium
Lineage: Bacteria
Description: partial 16S ribosomal RNA
Rfam family: Bacterial small subunit ribosomal RNA
Source: RNAcentral
AGGACGAACGCUGGCGGCGUGCUUAACACAUGCAAGUCGAGCGGUAAGGCCUUUCGGGGUACACGAGCGGCGAACGGGUGAGUAACACGUGGGUGAUCUGCCCUGCACUUCGGGAUAAGCCUGGGAAACUGGGUCUAAUACCGGAUAUGACCUCAGGUUGCAUGACGUUGGGGGUGGAAAGUAUUUAUCGGUGGCAGGA